Long non-coding RNA from Cryptomeria japonica (Japanese cedar), 591 nucleotides. RefSeq lists it as uncharacterized. Lineage: Eukaryota; Viridiplantae; Streptophyta; Pinopsida; Cupressales; Cupressaceae. The transcript has 5 exons. The record is from RefSeq and is a predicted model, not a curated record.
UUGUUUUUGUUUGUUUGUUUAAUUUUCAUGUGGUGUAUGUUUUUGGGCAUGGCCAUGCCUCUGUUUUGAGUUUUGAUUGAGUUUUGGUUUUAAAUUUUCGUUAUGUGUUUUUGUUUUCUGAUCCUUACUUUUUCUGUUUGUAUUCUAUGUUUUCAUUUGUUUACAUUCUUAUGACCAUUGGACAAACAGACUGGAGCAGACCAGAGUGUGUGUGUUACAGGAGCAGCAGGAACAGUUCGCCAUCCAGGAGGAGAAAAAUAAGCAUGGGCAAUGGUAAGAAGAAAGAGAAAAAUAAGCACUGGCAAUGAUAAGGAGGAGGACGAGAAAAGAAGCAGAAUUACACAUCACAAUUAUCAAGAUUUACAUCAGAGUAUAGUAUAGGAACUGGCAGUGAUAAGGAGGAGGAGAAAAAUAAGCACUGGCAAUGAUAAGGAGGAGGAAGAAAAAAGAAGCAGGAUUACACAUCGCAACUAUCAGGAAUUACAUCAGGUUUUAGUACAUCUAAAAGAUUUUGCAACAUUCGGUCCCAUUUUGUCACCUUGUUCAUCCCUCAAUGGCUUUUACAUACACGUCAAGCGACAAGUGCAGGUU